This 497-nucleotide ribosomal RNA is filed under the name uncultured bacterium. RNAcentral's name for it is "partial 16S ribosomal RNA". It matches the Rfam family "Bacterial small subunit ribosomal RNA", at positions 28 to 507 of the family's 1533-position model. The record is from RNAcentral.
GACGAACGCUGGCGGCGUGCCUAAUACAUGCAAGUUGAGCGAUGAAGCUUGGUGCUUGCACCCAUUUGAAGAGCAGCGAACGGGUGAGUAACGCGUGGGGAAUCUGCCUUUGAGCGGGGGACAACAUUUGGAAACGAAUGCUAAUACCGCAUAACAACUUUAAACAUAAGUUUUAAGUUUGAAAGAUGCAAUUGCAUCACUCAAAGAUGAUCCCGCGUUGUAUUAGCUAGUUGGUGAGGUAAAGGCUCACCAAGGCGAUGAUACAUAGCCGACCUGAGAGGGGGAGCGGCAACAGUGGGACGGGGACACGGCCCAAACUCCUACGGGAGGCAGCAGGAGGGAAUCUUCGGAAAGGGACGAAAGGCGGACCGAGAAACGCCGCGGGAGGGAAGAAGGGUGUCGGAUCGGAAAACUCGGUUGGUAGAGAAGAACGUUGGUGAGAGUGGAAAGCUCAUAAAGUGACGGUAACUACCCAGAAAGGGACGGCUAACUACGUG